RNA transcript from Sceloporus undulatus (fence lizard), 2962 nucleotides. It is a transcript of the gene named peptidylprolyl isomerase like 6, with no coding region annotated. The record is from RefSeq and is a predicted model, not a curated record. The transcript is spliced from 7 exons. Lineage: Eukaryota; Metazoa; Chordata; Lepidosauria; Squamata; Phrynosomatidae.
UCCAACUGGAGUUGCCAUGGCGAGUGGGAUUGUUUACGUUCCUUUCCCAAAGGACCUGGAAGAAGGGCAGCGUAGCAGUAGCAAGACAAAGUGAAAAGACUGAAAUCCUUGUGAACGAUGUGGGCUAAAAAUGCCAGGGAGCCUGUGAGGCUGCAAGAGGUGGCAGUUGUGGGGCUUCUCACCGAACCCUCCUUUCACAUGGCAGCACAUGCUGCAGAGGCUCUAAGGAGAAAUUUUCCAGCCAAGAUAGCAGAACCAAAAAUACUUCCUCUACUGCAAUUUGCAUGGGAUGAAUAUCUACAGGAGAAAAAGAAGGAGCUGAGAGGAGAAACAUGGGAGUAUGCAUCCAAUGUGAUGUGUUUCAUUGAUGGUCAGCUCCUUGGAGAUGAGAAAAUGUUACUCAAAUGGGCUUAUGAUGUUUGGGAUUAUAAAGACUUUAAACCAACAGCACUUUAUGAAGCAAUUACACAGGAUUUCCUCACUAAAUACAUGAGAAACAAGAAACACAUAUUUGUGUAUCUGGAGAUAGCUAUUCAGGAGGUGAUUGUUGGAAAACUACUGUUUGAGCUGUAUUCUGAUAUCUGUCCCAAGACAUGUAGGAAUUUCAAGUACUUGUGUACAGGAGAGAAAACAAACACUGAAUCUGGAAAAAUUCUCACUUACCAGGAGUCUAUCUUUCACCGUAUUGUCAAAAAUGGCUGGAUACAAGGAGGAGACAUUCAUGGAGGAAGAGGAAAUGGAGGCGAGUCGAUAUAUGGACCUAUCUUUGAAGGUAGUUGUAUCCUCUUGAAAUGUGCUAGUAGAACCAAACUAGGAAGCAAAAAUCCAUCGGUGAUGCCUUUAUUGGCCAACUGAAUUGCACAAUAUACUUGUUGCAAGCUUUCGGAGCUUCAUGGCUUCUUCAUCAGGCAAGUUGUUACAAACCAAAUGGGAGGGGAAAAAAUGGAGAUGUUAGAUGCCCGCAUGUUGUUUUAGUCCUUAGUGAAGAUGUUAUGUUGGAGAGGACAACUUUUACAGGCAGGCUCCUCCUCCUCUUGGCUAUGCGCAAUAGGGACAUUUUCAAAGUCCAGGAUAUAUAAAGUUUUGGCUUCAUGGAUGUAACCAAAAGAUACUUCCUUAACAUAAAGUGUAUCCUAGUGAAAGAAAUGAGAUUAAAUGAAACAGUACAAAUUCAUCUGUAUUGUAGUUACUUGCUGGAAGCUCAGAAGUCAGAAUUGUAGUGCACACAUGAAACCUACACAUCAGCUCAAAUACUCAUUUGUGCAUUACAUUUCCCUUAUAGCACUUUCACUUCCUCCACAAAAGGGGAACAGAUUUUGUUUGUGAAGAGACACAAAGGGAACUUAAAGCCUCACGUAGAGAAAGUGCAAUUUUGUGCUUCUUCACAAGGUGCAUCUAGUUUUGCUCAGCUUACAGCAGGAAAUUUUGAACUAGAACAAGGGUAAGGAAAUGAGAAAUGGAAAAUAGUUAGAUUGCAGUUCUAAGUAAACCUGUCAGUGAGUAUCCUGUUGGAAUUAAAUAUAUGACAGAGCUCCUUUCCAGACUGGUAGUUCCAAUCCCUUUGGUUCCUGUCACUCACCUUGCCCCCUUGCCCCUUAAUAUUCCUCCCUGGAUCUGAUACUUGGCCUCAAUGUGAUCCCUGUAUGGACAAGUGGAUUCAAUGUUCAGUGGGUCAAUGUGGUAAGCAUGGCCAGACUCUCAAACCUAACAGGAACAGCCAGACACAGUUGUAAAAAAGAACACAAAAAUAGUAUAAGUGUAUUAAUGCACAAUCAGAUCAAGCCUUAACCCCUGAUCUACAUAAUGAUUCACAGCUUCCAACCCCCCCCCCCCCAUUCAGUUCUUUCUCCCUGGCAGACUGUCCUGUCUUUGGGACAGUACACACGGGCAUUUUGUGACGUCCUGACGCCAAAAUUUGGGCUUGCUGUGGCACAACAUCUACAUGCGCCAAGCCCUAAUAUCAGCACCAUUACAUCACAAGGCUGCAGCCAUGUCCACAUGGAGCAGCCUUGUAACGUAAGGGUGCCAGAGCACCCACACACCUCUGGCGGAAGCGAUGUCAUAAGGGCUGCAAUACAGCCCUUAGCGCACCACAAAAAGGAGCCACUCUAGGCAGCUCCUUUUUGCUGCGCAGCAUCGCCGCCCUGUUUGGUUGGUCCAGCAACCAAAAGUCCAGCAGCCAAAAGUCAAGCUAGAGAUCAAAUCUGAACUGUAGAAUAGUAUACCAAAUUAUGCAAGAAACAUGUUUAGUUUCACGGCGCAGCAAAGAGGGGUGGUGUUUCCGUGCUGGUAUGUACAGCCCCUACAUUACAGCUUUUCCCUAUCUCUGCGUCAACCUUCCCCUCUCUGCCUUCUGUUAGAGACAAGCCUCGGUUUUUGUAUCCUUUCUCCCCUACACGCCCCCCCCACACACAAUCUAUAUGACCGGCUGGCUCCAACCAGGCUUGUCCAGCUUCUCCCUUUACAAAAUCAUAGACAAAUAUGUUCAGAAUAAAAACUCCAGCAAGGUUUGCCAUAUAGGUUAUUGCAUGUUUGUGUGUAUAUACCUUCAAGUCACUUGUCAUCAUAUGGGGACCCCAUGAAAUUCAUGGGGUCCCCAUAGGCACUGGAUACUCAGAGGUGGUUUUGCCAGUUUCUUCUUCUGAAACAUAGCCUACAGCAGUUGAUAUUCCAAGCAUGGAGUGUCCAAGAUCAGAUGGGAUCAGCAUACCUUUAUUUUCUCCCUUUUUUGUAGCCCUUCCAGGAAUGUAUGUCACUGACUUUGGAGAGACGGUUGACAUCAUAGAUUCACAGACUUACACACCAACAUGCACUGCCCAAGUUUGACCUGGGAGGUCAAUGCAGCUCUAAAGAUGAAAAUUUUGCAGUUCCGCAUGACAGGAGAGGUGUUCUGGGAAUGGUCAACAAAGGACGUCACAGCAAUGGGUCCCAGUUCUACAUUACACUUCAGGCAGCACCUUAC